Molecule: ribosomal RNA, 487 nt
Filed under: Lactococcus lactis
Lineage: Bacteria; Bacillati; Bacillota; Bacilli; Lactobacillales; Streptococcaceae
Description: bacterial SSU rRNA
Rfam family: Bacterial small subunit ribosomal RNA
Source: RNAcentral
AUGGACGAAAGUCUGACCGAGCAACGCCGCGUGAGUGAAGAAGGUUUUCGGAUCGUAAAACUCUGUUGGUAGAGAAGAACGUUGGUGAGAGUGGAAAGCUCAUCAAGUGACGGUAACUACCCAGAAAGGGACGGCUAACUACGUGCCAGCAGCCGCGGUAAUACGUAGGUCCCGAGCGUUGUCCGGAUUUAUUGGGCGUAAAGCGAGCGCAGGUGGUUUAUUAAGUCUGGUGUAAAAGGCAGUGGCUCAACCAUUGUAUGCAUUGGAAACUGGUAGACUUGAGUGCAGGAGAGGAGAGUGGAAUUCCAUGUGUAGCGGUGAAAUGCGUAGAUAUAUGGAGGAACACCGGUGGCGAAAGCGGCUCUCUGGCCUGUAACUGACACUGAGGCUCGAAAGCGUGGGGAGCAAACAGGAUUAGAUACCCUGGUAGUCCACGCCGUAAACGAUGAGUGCUAGAUGUAGGGAGCUAUAAGUUCUCUGUAUCGCA